This 441-nucleotide ribosomal RNA is filed under the name uncultured bacterium. RNAcentral describes it as "partial 16S ribosomal RNA". It matches the Rfam family "Bacterial small subunit ribosomal RNA", at positions 338 to 795 of the family's 1533-position model. The record is from RNAcentral.
CCUACGGGUGGCAGCAGUGGGGAAUAUUGCACAAUGGAGGAAACCCUGAUGCAGCAACGCCGCGUGAAGGAAGACGGUUUUCGGAUUGUAAACCUCUGUUCUUAGUGAAGAAUACUGACGGUCGCUAAGGAGCCUGACACGGCUAACUACGUGCCAGCAGCCGCGGUAAUACGGAGGUGGCAAGCGUUGUCCGGAAUUACUGGGUGUAAAGGGAGCGCAGGCGGGAAGCCAAGUCAGCUGUGAAAACUACGGGCUUAACUUGUAGACUGCAGUUGAAACUGGUUUUCUAGAGUGAAGUAGAGGUAGGCGGAAUGCCGAGUGUAGCGGUGAAAUGCGUAGAGAUUCGGAGGAACACCGGUGGCGAAGGCGGCCAACUGGGCUAUAACUGACGCUGAGGCUCGAAAGUGUGGGGAGCAAACAGGAUUAGAUACCCCAGUAGUC